Gavialis gangeticus (Gharial) is the source of this 1866-nucleotide long non-coding RNA. RefSeq lists it as uncharacterized. The transcript has 2 exons. NCBI's taxonomy places the organism in Eukaryota, Metazoa, Chordata, Crocodylia, Gavialidae. The record is from RefSeq and is a predicted model, not a curated record.
AGAAACAAGAGAUGCUACCAGAAGACUACAGAUUGCAAGGAACAAUACAAAGAAAGUCUGGCCCUCCCCAAGCAGUAAGUUAUCUUGUCUCCCCCUUACAGAUGGGCAAACUGAGGGGCAGGAAGGCAAUGCGACUACCCAGGGGCAUCCAAAAAGCUGGGUUUUGUCUCUAGUCAAAGCCCCACUGGUCUGAGACAGAGCAGUGACUACAAACCUUGGCCAUACCCUCAGGAAUGCCACCAGUAUCUCAGUCUCAUCUUGGAUGAGACCCCUAAGAAUAUGCAUCCUUUUCACUGUUUUCAUAGACACCAAGCACAGCCCUUUGGGAUAAGGCAGGUGCAGCUGUAGCCACAGGCCCUAGAGUUGUGUGGGGGACACUGAGCCAGGUCCUUUGGAGGCAGCCCACAUUAACCCCCUACCCAGUCUCAUCUAGGCCCACCCCUGCCAUACUAAAUGGGCAAUGGGACAUGGUAAUCAUGGUAGGGUGAGGGGUCCCCUAAGCAGUUUGGGCAGACGCUCAUCUGGGAUGGUGUAGCCAGGGAUGAUCCUGCUUUGAGCAGGGAGCUCCACUAGAUAAUCUUGUGGGGUCCCUUCCAGCCCUACUUGUCUAUGAUCCUAAGCGCCACAGCAGUAUAUGGGUCACUGGUCCAGAAAGACAAGGACAGAGACGGAGAGAAGCAAAGUGCCACGGAAGCACAUCUCACGUGAAAAGGUCCACAGAAGAGAUGGAGAAGAACCACCAACAAGGGUUGGGACAAUGUAAGGUGGGGAGCCAGUGGCAUUCAGAGGGUUAAAAGUGGUUCUUGCUGACCAUAACGCAAUGGCAUAUGGAAGCCUGGCAAAGGCUGGGGGACAGGGGGAGUUAGGGGCUUUUGUGGUAGUGGUGAGGGAAAGCAAGCAGGUUACAGCACUGGAGAGGCAGCUUAGGAUGCCUGGAGGAUGGUUUAAUUCUCACAGGUGGGAGGAGGCGGCAGCUCAGCUUUUCAGCAGCAACUUGCAAGCAGAUGUACUGUACAGGGUUCAGCAUGCUCUGGAGGUGGUGAUCACAGAGUGGGAGGUAACAGAUGAGGCAAAUAUUCCAGGCCACUUCUCAGCCUGGCCAUCUGGCUGCUCAGGGACAGUGGGAAAAGGGCACCAGCAAUCAAGCAUUGAGAAGCUUCCCAGGAAAAGGCUGCACUUUUACAGCAGCUCCACCCCCUGAUCAUGAAGACAUGGUGCUUGACCACAAUUCAGUCCACAUCUUCCAUUAUGCCUCCCUUCAUCCAAUAUAGGAGGUCUCCCAAAAUCAGUUCCUUGCCAUUGUAAGAGACUAUAUCAGAUGACCCCUUCAGUAAGGAUAUGAUAUUUCUACGCACCAGGUUCACUGGCAGAAGAGAAGAUAUACUGGAGCAGCUGCAAGCAGGGGAAAAUGGACACUCCAGAUGGAAAAGCUAAAAUCAGCCUGGCAAGGGGGGCCACUCAAAGGCAGGUGCAAAGAGGAGCAGCAUGUGCUAGGUAGCCAAACCAUGCCUAGCACUCUGACAGCCUUAUUUGUUCAGUAUCUCUGAUGGUACCAAUCUCACCACAUGGUUGCAGUUCUGGAGAACAGAACACAACAGAGGAUUUUGAUGACUGAUGAGGGCAGGGACAGCUCACCCCCAGAGGAGCUGAAAAGCCUCUUGACAAUGCAUAUCAGCUUUUGCUUUGGACAAGGGCAGAAUGCAGCCUGCCAGGACUUUAGGGUUAAUUUCCAUACAUGCUUCUACUGACAAUUGCACUGGGCCAUCUAUGGCUCGGGUCUCACCCAGCUUUUAAGAGAGAAAUCUGGGCUCUUGCAACUUCUGCUCACUCCUGGAAUCACUGUUAUAACACACCUUAAAAAAAAAA